Molecule: long non-coding RNA, 1075 nt
Organism: Canis lupus familiaris (dog)
Lineage: Eukaryota; Metazoa; Chordata; Mammalia; Carnivora; Canidae
Exons: 3
Source: RefSeq, a predicted model, not a curated record
GACAUGUCAUCCACUAGGGAAACUCGUGGUAAAUCCCUCAGGGAAGUGUGGAUUUCAUCUAAUGAAAUGAAUCACCAACGCUGGAAUUUCCAACUUAUAUAUACACCCCCGUCUAGACAGCAGAAGUUGGUUGCUGUGCAGCUGCAUUCACUAUGAAAGGACUAUGAUGUCACACAUUGCCAAGGUGACAAGAAAUAUACCUGUGCCUCUCUUUCCAAAUGACACCCUUGAGCUUAGUAGAUCAAAGUUGAUAUUGAGGGAGUUCUCCGCUCUCUACCUAACUUAUUUGAAAAUAGGCAAACUCAAUUGUUACUGCUGUGAAGACUCUCAGUUGGAUACUUUAAGAAUAUGGCUUCUCUGAAGAUUUUCUGCACCCCACUGUGACUCAGGUUUCUCUGCAAGGCAAAUGACCAGUAUUGGAAUCAAAUUUUGAAUUUUGAUAAUCUUAUCACUCUUUUUGGAUGGUCUUCUCACAUAAAGAUAUCAACAGCUCUUACUAUGGUCAUCCAUUUCCCAGGAUCUAGAGUUAAAAACCAAAACCCAAAACUAUUUAUGAAACCAGCUGGAUACAUCUGAACUGAGAAGUAAGCAAAAAUAUUUCAAGUUUUCAGAAACAGAAAAAUUCACCCAUAAAAGACAUCAAUGGAAGAUACAAUGAAAAUUCAUUCAUUAAAUUGACUCAAGAAAUAUUGUCAUUGGGGCAUCUAGGUGUUUAUGUCAGUUAAAUUUCCUCCUCCUGGUUUUCACCUCUGGUCAUGAUCUCAAGGUCAUCAUAUUAACCCAUAUUCAGCAUGGAGCCUGCUUGGUAUUCUCUCUUCCUUUCCCUCUGCCCCUCUCCUCCUUACACUUUCUCUUUUGCUUUCUUUACAGAAAAAAAGAACCAUUAUGCAAUUUUGCUCAGGGUGCUAUUAUAAAGACAAAUAUACCAAGCCAUAUUCUUUAUAUUUUUUGUUUGAAAAUCUUAAUUUAAAUGGUCAGUCAUUAGUUUAUACCCAAAAUAGUAAAGAACUCUAUGUUGGUCAGACAUAAUGGUAGGUGUUGUGAAGCUAACAUUUGCAUACUUAAUCCGUGUUAA